Molecule: transfer RNA, 72 nt
Filed under: Camelus bactrianus (Bactrian camel)
Lineage: Eukaryota; Metazoa; Chordata; Mammalia; Artiodactyla; Camelidae
Also listed under: 2 other names
Rfam family: tRNA
About the family: Transfer RNA (tRNA) molecules are approximately 80 nucleotides in length.
Source: Rfam by way of RNAcentral
GAGGGCAUAGCUCAGUGGUAGAGGGUGUGCUUAGCAUGCAUGAUGUCAUAGGUUCAAUCCCCAGUACUUUCA